GGGGGGGGGGGGGGGGGGGCCGGGGGGGGGGGGGGCGAGCGAGGGCGGCGGGCCUAGCGGCGGACGGGGGAGUAACGCGGGGGAACGUGCCCUUUGCUGCGGAAUAGCCCGGGGAAACUGGGAGUAAGACCGGAUGAGCCCUCUGGGGGAAAGAUUUAUCGGCGAAGUAUCGGCCCGCGUUGGCUUAGGUAGUUGGUGGGGUAAUGGCCUACCAAGCCGACGAUCCAUAGCUGGUUUGAGAGGAUGAUCCGCCACACUGGGACUGAGACACGGCCCAGACUCCUACGGGAGGCCGCAGUGGGGGAUCUUAGACAAUGGGGGAAACCCUGAUCUAGCCAUGCCGCGUGAGCGAUGAAGGCCUUAGGGUUGUAAAGCUCUUUCAGCUGGGAAGAUAAUGACGGUAGCAGCAGAAGAAGCCCGGGCUAACUCCGUG
This 433-nucleotide ribosomal RNA is filed under the name uncultured bacterium. RNAcentral describes it as "partial 16S ribosomal RNA". It matches the Rfam family "Bacterial small subunit ribosomal RNA", at positions 27 to 507 of the family's 1533-position model. The record is from RNAcentral.